GUGUAGCAGUCUUGUCACGCGAAGGUGUUUACAAAUUCGUAUUUCAAUACGACUAACAAUAAGUUUACGGUGCUCUUCUGUUUGGAAUUAGGAAACAGAUUCGAGGAGAAAACAGGCGAGGAACGUUGUGUAUUCUACAGAUUCAACGUGAUCAUCUUUCGGGUCUCGAAGGACGGAAACAAGCAAGUGGGAAGAAACCUUGUAGCCAGAGAAUGUUAGGAGUCGAAGAAACGGAAGGAGAUACAAGGUAAGGGAAGCGGUCGCGGAGGUCUGGCCUCUGUUUCGGUCGGUGCUUUACAUACGUCCGUAAACCGGAGACGAACUGCUACCGGGAAGGACUACUGAUCGUUGCGGUCUCGGCUGUGUUCUUGAUAGAAGUUUCCCAGCAAAGUUCCUUGCCUGCAUCGCGACUGCCUUGGGGAGCCUCCUUCUGCCACGCCGUCUUGAUGCUCCCCGCCGCCUCUACGUUAAAUCGAUUUCGUUCCCGAAGGAAUUCUUGAUGUACAUUGGUCCUACACUGGAUUUGUUGCAUCCUACUUUGACAGUCCAGAACCAUGCAAACCUUUAAUUCCGACGCGAUGCAAGAAAGCUGUUCGACAUCCCUGGCUGUCGUUCGCGACAACAAAAGCAAUCGAGAAAGUUUCCUCGUAAAAGGUUUCAGCAUCGUCCCGAAGUUCCUCUGUUUCCGUGAUCUGGCUGAUACCACUUACCUGUCCUUGGUACCGCAUCCCUCUCGACAACGGGGUUGUAAAAGGAAAAACGAUUCUGAAAGUGUCGAACGAAUGGUGGGAGAAGAAAGCGUGGAAAGAAGCGAGACAGGACGUGUGUGAUAAAAUGAGCGUUUAUUGCGGAGGGGUGGAAGACACGAAGGGAGAGGAACGAAUGAAAAGUUGUCACAUUUGUUUCGCGGCGAUAAAGGGCGAUGCGACUCUCUCCAACUAAAUCUGAAGCCCCGCAGCGGAGAAAGUUGUUUACAAAAUAUUCUCGCGAUAGGACGCGAUAAAAACGCUCGAUGGGGAGGGUUCGUUGAAAAGAGAAAUCUAUUCCGAUCGUGGAAAUUCCAGGAGACAAACAUCAGCAUACACGAAAGAAAGAAAAAGGGACCAUUUCGUUCCUUUUAACACUUAUACUGAAAGCACUGGAAGAGUAGCAUUUCGUAACUCGGUCAUUGCCAGUCGAACAGGCAUACCAUCAUGGUCGUCUGACUUCGAGUACACGAACGUUUCUACCGGACGUUGAAUUUCGAGACACGAAGCGGUAGGAUGAUUGGAAUUCAGAGUCGUAACCGGAGUCUCGAUCUUCCAGAAAAUAGGAACAUCAUGCUAGUACGACCCUUUCCACCUCCUCCCCCGCGGUCGGAACUUUAUACUUUAAAUCCGCCCUAUAAAUAUCACGCUCCUUUGGUCUCGGGGCUGGUUUCCGAAAGAUUGGCUCGCGGUAUUCUUCGUGGGAAUCGCUCACCGCUUUGCGUCGAUAUAUCAAAGGAUGAAGCCCUCUCCGAUCCCCCACGAAACGAUUCGUCAUCCCCGUUUCUUGUAAAACAGGCCACUGGUUUUACGCGCCGUACCCACCGUCUGCCUAACCAUUAUCAAUGCGAAUAAAAAGACAGGAGGAUAUUGGCCUCGUGUCUACUUCAUUUUGUAAAUUGUUAUUUUUUGUACGAAGCAACUGUCAGUUCGAGUGUUCAAUUUUAAUACCAUCAGUCAUUCGUUCCAGGAUCUAGGACCUGGGUAUGAGGGAGACGAAGACAAAAGAUUGCCGAUGUCCAUAUUUUUCACGAAAUUCCUCUACGGUACAGCGAAGUGAAAGAGCAAACAUGUCGCGGAUCGUUGAAAUAAUUGUUUGCCAAUGCGAACGUUGGAUUUAUAUCUCUCGACUCAACAAGUGUUCCGGUCACGUUCAUCCGAUUAUCGGAAUUCUUCCGUCUGUCCGAGUGGCGGGUGUCCGCGAGGCGGCAAUGAUUUAUCGACUACGGGAUCGCUGUUAAUCCCGUUGACGGAGAGUUCCUCUUGGUCCGGUUUUCGCGCGUAAAAAUUCACUGGCUUUCCCUGUGGGAACCGUCGGUGAAUCGAAUACGGAAUGCUAAACAGUCGAAGGGUUGCGGUGCGGUGCGGUGUCGUUCGCUGAGGUAUACCGUCAGCAGCCGAACCGACUAGACAGGCGGUCGCCCAACCUCUCUCUUCUCCGCCAGGCGCUGCGCGCAUUUAGAUAAGUUAAACUAUAAAUUAGACGGAUCACUGGUAGCUAUUCGAGGAAAUGUUGUCGGCGCCUGAAUAUGUAUGAUUUAUACAAGGAACCCGACUCACCGAUAUAAUUCCUGCCGCAGGCGUCGGUGAAUCGCGGGGCUGCCGGUAGCUACUCUCUCGCUGUUCAAUCUUUGUUCGACGUUAACUGUUUCGCAACGAAGGGUUAAAGGGAAUCUUUGCCGGUUAGAUUCGGAAAAUUUGUUUACUUUGUUUCUCCCAUAUCGAUGUUAGUCUAGAGAGGGCGAGAUCCUCCAAGUAGGCGCUGAUUAGAACCCUUGCCUCUCAAUGAUACUAUCUUGCGAGGUCGGAAGAAACGGUACGCUGCUGUAGUGAAGCACGGAAAAAGGCAAGCUUCCCCGCCGGAAAAAAGUGCCUGGGGGCAACGAGACGAGGACUGUCGGUUGGGUGCGUCUUCCCGGUCCGCCGCUAAUGGCGUCGUUAUUUUAAAAUACCACGAUCAUAUUUCCCCGUGGCCCAGCAAGAAUAUGCCACAGCGAAUCGAACUUAAUCUACGCGAGGCGUUUUGUCUCCUCUCCUCGGCCGUUCGUUCUCGAAAGCGUCCCUGCUGCUCUAAAUCAUGUAAGGAUUACGCUGGCAGGGCAAGGAAUCAGAGGGUGGGAGGGAGGAGCGGAAGACGAUCCACGCCCGGCCAACUCGCAUUUUGGAAACAUUUAAAUUCUUAUACGCGAAUAAAUAGCAAGAAUUUUACGCGCGAUAAAAUAUAGAUUUCCUACGGGGUGCCCAGCGACACCGCCUCGCCUCUGGAAGGGUGGAAGAACGUGGUCAUAAAAUCAUUGAUAUGAAAAUAUAGCCUUUUCAUCCGACCUACCCCUCCUUCCCCAAUGACGAAAUCGUCCAGACAUAGGGGAUGAGCAAUCGGUACACGGAUCGGGGAAAAAAAAUUUAUACAAAGAUCUUUUGUUCGGGUUUCGCUCGUCUGCUAGGGCUAGUUUUAAGGAGGUCCACGAGACAAUGUUGACCAAAUCAACGAGCCAAAUCAGAACGAUUAAAGUGAAGAAGUUAAGAUGAAAGGGUGUUCGGUAAGUAAAGCCGAACGGCUUUUGCAGUUAGGGACUGGAUAUAGCAGCGCGAACAGAGCGCAGGAGGGUUCGCGUCGCCGGCAUCUAAUCCAAUAAUUUAAUUUCAGCAUCCCGGCUAACGGGGAUUUGAAGUAUUAGCCAACGGAAUUUGUGUAUCUUUGAUUAGUAUUCCAUUCGGCGCUGCGCUCGGUCUUGCUCGAUCGCGGUUAUACACGAAUCCUAAAUCAACCACGUUUGUGUCUUUGCCUUUUACUAAGGACACCGUUUCUGCGGAGAUUCAGCAUCGUGCUAUUUCGAUUUCGAAAUUCCCUUAUCCAUUCCCAUCAUCGCGAGUGGAUUCAAUUCCAUCGCGCCCGUUGGUAUUCACAAGAUAGUCGUCGGAUGGUUCGAGCGCUUGUUAAAAUAAAUUUUCAGCAAUUUUCAUCCACUUCCGUAUCGUCCCAUCGUAAGAGUCAGGGGGUAACGAUUCGUGCCGAUAGCGGUAGCAGCAGUCAAAGUUCAUGGGUCGCGUGAAGCUUCUGGAACGCGCGAUGCACAGGCACGUAUAUAUGAACUCGCGGCCAUAAAGUUCGAGUUUACAACGCGAAAUGGACUGGAAAGCAAAACGCGCGCAAAAAAAAGAGAGGAGAAUAACGAGGAGGCAGCAUGGAAGCGGUGGUGGCGAAAGGAUGAGCGAGGCCAGGUUUCGAAGGAGGAGGACGGAGUGUUGGGAUCGCGGUCGUUGGACAGAGAACGAGAGGAAUUAAGAGUGACAGAGGAAAAGAGAGCGUUUGGGGGUAAGGGAUGGAGAAAUUGGAGGGAUGAAAGUGGGUGGAACGGAAAGCGUAGAGGGUGGGAAAGAAGGAGGAUGAAGAGAGACAGAGAGAGAGAGAGAGAGAGGGGUAGGGGGAGGAGUACUAGCAGCAGUCAGAGAAGUAAUAUCCAGCGCAACGUUCCGGCAGGAUGAGCUUUAAUUGGAAUAUGGAUCCGCUCUCUGUCGUUUCCCGAUACUCCGAUAAAUUAUCCUACGUACCAUUUGCCCCGGAAAGCGCCACUUCAAUUCGUUGCUACGUUCGAAGCGUAACACCUAGCUGAAAGAGAUGAUGCGCGCCAUUCGAAGCGAAUGAACAUGAUGAAGUGCGAAUGUAGGUUUUAAAGCGACGCGAUUAAGGUCAAUUUGCCGUGAUUCGAUUUAUGCCGCGUUCAAUUAAAGCGAAACGCUAUUCAAUUGUAAAGGUACCACCCCGCGUGUUUCGUCUCAGCAGUGGACAGGGUGGGCUAGGUGACCAGAAAUAGCAGCAAAUAAAAAAAUUUCUGUUCGACCUAAUGCGAGGAAUAGAAAUUAUUUAAAUUAAAGAAAAUAUCAAUUUUUGUGAUUUAACGUAACCAUUACCGGAGAAGAAGAAAUAUUGGUAAUAAGACACCCUACAGAAUCCUUAGGUGAGGAAUUUCAUAUUCUUCUAGCAGUAUCCAUCAAGGUUCCGCGGGAUGGCAGCGGCUCUUGUCCUGCAUCGGUGGGCAGGUAAGAGCGAUAUAUUUUCGAAGAUUGUUUUCUCUCGUCAGGUAGCCACAUACGUCACACGAAAUCCCAAGAGGAAGGCUGGACGGGCAGCACGAAUAUACAGGGUAUAGAUCACAACUCGCGAAGCGUCGGCCAAGUCCCACGGCGGAACGUGGCGAAUCAACUUCCGUCAUUGCCCGCCAUCCCAGUCCUAAUGCCCAACAUUUCUCUUCGGUCUCUGAACAACCCAUGGAUCUACAAAUGGGUGUGAGUAAAACGUGAACAGAUACGAUGUGUCUAUAUACAAUGACUGGUAAAAAUAUUUGCGUCCUCUCAAUUAAUCCUACGGUGGUCUCCUACCAACUCACAGUUCGGCACGGUGAUUGUUAAAUAUUUCAAUUAUUACACAUUUUUAAGUUAGGGUGAGUUAUUUUUAAUUGGUCCUUGGAUUGACGCGAUGCUGGGGACUAUUCUAUGACCAUUUUUGAACCGAAUACUUUUGAAAAGAGUUUUAGAAUCGAGUGUUGAUUCGAGUAUCAGGUUAGAGAGGUUGAUUUAGUUAAUUAAGUGAUCCGAAUGAGGUAGGAAAUGCAAGAUGAAGUAGAAAGCAUGGUGCAAAGGAUCGGGACAACAGGGGGUGCUGUGUUGUUUUCCACUAUCUGUCUUCGGAUAAACGCGUGCGGUUUAGCCAAUUCGCCCCUUGACCGAGAAAAAUGGCUAUCGGCCCUGGGAAUACGUUUACGACCGCCCCGGGUCGAGUAAUUCUAUUACGGAAGGAUUUUUUUUCGCUUUAUACUCUAUCGGAAUCGGUGGUCUUUUUUAUUUCAGAAUGCUCGCACAGACCAUUCGUUCCACUAAUGAGACCCAAACGUCUCCAGGGAGCAUCGAUAUAUUUAGAGUUUGCACUGACACGUUGUUUCAUAACGAUUUUUAGGGGAUUUGAUGAAAUUCUACAGGGAGGAAAUCUGACAAUCACGAAUUUAUCGAUCUAAUAUAAUAUAUUUCAAUAUAAGCACUCUUUCGUUGGCGCCAACAUACAGAAGAAUUACGAUUAUUCCAACCGCCAUAACGUCGCAUUUGCAUUUAUAUUUUUACAGUUAUCUGUACUACUUUUACCUAAUUGCAGUGCUCUGAUAUUGUUAUAGCAACCCUAGUUUUCCUUUUUUAUGCAUAGCCUGCGAAUCAAGCCGUGGGACAUUUGAUUGCUCGAUGGUACGAGGUAUCAAUCUUUUUCAAGGGCCAGCAACCCCAAGUCGACCGUGCAACGGACUCGAUACCAGAGCAUUUGCAUGUCCUUUAUGAAAAUUCUAUAGUUUAUAGGCACAUUUGUAUGUAUUAUCGUAUUAGCAUAUUCCAAAAGACAGCAAUCUCAAUAUUGGAUAGCGUAGUCGGGUUAUAUCGCUUGUUUACUACACCCCCUUCGACGAAAAAACGGAACCACGCACGUGUCCUCCCUUCUCGAAUCAGGAUCGAGCUCUUCCAUUCCUUUUCUUUUCUCUCGAAUUUUCAAUACAAAGCAUCAGAAAAUGGUGCAACCCGACGAAGGGGGAAAAAAAGUUUUCCGUGAAACGAGCAAGUUUCCUAUUGAAUUCCGUAAACACCGAGCUCCGAGAAUAUAUAUUCGCGAUACUGGCUUUGCAUUUUUACCCUGUUGCAAAGUUUAACCGAAUUUCCAUCGAGGGAAAGUUGAAUAGGAACUUAAUUUUCGAAUAUCCUUUGAAUUCGUUAACUCCAUUAAAUUAUUGAAACUUAUCCAUUGAUCAAACAAAAUUUUUUGCAUUAUAGAUCUAUAGCAGCAAUUUAUGACGCCAUUAUACUAUUUCCUAACCUCAAACGCGAUAAAAAUGCAUGUCCUCUGUCGAUACUGUAUUCGAACGUAGGAAGGUCCAUGGAGGGUUAGGUAAAACGCGAGAAUCGCAGGAAACGAAGGAAUCUGCAUAUUAUUGGAUCAAUGCGUUGAGAUCAGACCGUUUGGCGAAAUCAAACCAUUUGUACGAGAAGCUUUUCUCGUCCUACUGAUAUCAUGUGCGAAGGCUCGUAUACGUUGCUAAGCAACCAUCCGGAGGGUGCCUUCUUGCCCGCAUCGAGAUGGUUUUAGUUGGUUUACUCAUUUAGGCAGUAACAAGCUGCAUGAAAGAUAUGGAAGAAAUCUCGUGCGAAAGGAACCGAAACCGAGUCGAGUGAGGUUAUGUUUGUGUCCGUCCAAGCAUUAAUUUUUUGAACUGACGUUACCUUAACCCCCAGGUAUUAUUUUGUACGGCACAUGGGAUAAAUUGGGACCUAAAUAUAUGAAUUAGUAAAAUACCUUUCAUUUUGCGGUAUGGGACGUGUGAAACUUAAUUAUAAGAUUAAUAGCGAAUAAAUACCUUAAGUACCCAGGGCACCUCUGGCUACGUCGAAGAAACCCCCUGCAACCGCUACCUACCUUAAGCAUCUAACCUCCUAACUAAAUUCCCCAUAACCAUCUGAACUAUCGGUUAUCGCUUAAACGGCAAACAGAUAAUACACUUCCGUGCAGAUAUCGAGUGUGUCGCCAGCCGGAGGUCGGCGUUCAGGGGGGUAAGGACCAACGAUGUCCCCGGUGGGUACGAUGGGUUCCUUGGUGGAGAUCGAUGCCACCCCCUUCUCACGGGAAUCACCGUGGGCUAAUCAAGCUAGUGCAGCUUCUAAUACGCUGGAAGGCAUUUAAUCUCGACAACUUGCUAACGACCUGACCAACACACUAUACAUUCCCGAUAAGCAAAGACCCAACAGUGGCAAGAAGCAUUCCCCGAUACCUUCUACGACGGCUUCGAUACCCGCUGUCUCUGUUUGUCCCUUUCCUGUAUUCCUCCCUUGAUUUCACUUUCGCUUCAGAAACGAGCAAACCCUCUUUGGUCCACUUGGAUGCUCGUGGUCGUUCGCGUCCACCUACACAGCUAACCGAACCGAGGGAUAGGGGUAGGUCUAGACAAGCGAAGUCGUAGCAGGUUGAGAAGUGGGUGUCGAAGAAGAGGGCGUCAGGGUGAAAUCCGUUCGGAAGGGUGGCUAGCAUUAGGUGCACGUUUCUGUACUUCGUUGCCAGCCGAACUGUAUCUCCAUAGCGUUACUUGUCCCAUAAACAGAGAGCACUAUUCUCCAGUCGAUGGUCUUCGGAUACGAUGCCGCUUGUGCCCCGAACAAGCUACACGUGCUACCUAUAUAUCUAUGGAUAUAGGGUAUAGUUUCGCGAACUAGCGCCGUGCCAUGCCAACCCAAUUCAAUUUAAACUUCGACGCUCGCGGAGGAGGCCGGAUCGGGGUGGAUUCGUAAUGCGCACGCGCCACAGCCACUAAAUCGCCCGAAAUUAAUGCGAGUUAUUAGUUGACGGCGAUAAUUAGGAGGCAAUUGCACGGAAAAGCGACGUGCCGUUGCGUCGAGGAGAAUUCCGAUGAUCUGGCUCCGGCUGAUCAACCCUUCCCUAUCUAACAGAAGAGUGCUCCACUGAAUUGUUGAUCCUCGCCAACGAUUCACUUCCUAAUACUAGAUCUCAUAUUACCAACAUUAGAGAAUAUUUCAAUUUAUAACUGAACAUCAAAAAUUAAGGUACCUAUCAUUUUUGUUAAUUCAACUAGGUUAGGUUUACUCAAAAUCCUAUAAAGGUACACAUAACCUAAUCUAAUUUAGCCCAGGUAAUAUAAUAGGUAUGCGAUCCCGAUUAGAAAAUCUACGAGUAUAGGAUUUACCGUAGUGCCGUUGGUAUUUAGAUGGAACGUGUAUCCAGGGUAGAAAUCCCGUCCCCCAGAAGUCAUGGGAGAGCGGAGAGACUACAAAAGCAUAUUAGAUACUUCCAAUAUUGGCUGCGGCUCAGGAGGCUGCGGUCUGCCCACAGAUUCCCGACAAACGGAGAGAAGAUACACGGUGCUGGAUUUCCAACGGUUGCAAUACACUUAACCCGAUGUAUAUUUGCAUGCACGCACGUACGCACGCAUGCACGCACUUUGUCCAAGGAGGGUUGGAUCUAGCUGAGGGAGAGACUGGUAGGUGUGUGUCGGUUGCUCGUUAAUAUUCAUACAAGCCAUGAAGCACGGCGUUGCACACUCGCGAGCUCGUAUAAAGUAUCGGUAAAUAAAUCAUAAUGUGUUAUUGCGUAUUUGAAUAUGUUUGACGCGAGGCUUUGGGGACGUCGAAAACCGGGCUGCUACUUGCCUCUUGCGAGGAUGCGACGUCUGAAAGCGAAUUGCCUUUGUGUUCAAAUGAUACCAAUACUACUCACAUUGGUUGUGAAAAAUAAUUGAAACAUAACCUAACAUAUGUAUAUAAAUAUCGAUCAGAAUCUUAGUAAAUAAUGGCGGGCAGGUAACGAAACAGGUUAGGUUAGGUUUGAAUUAAAAUUAAAACUAACCUUAAAAUUCAAUUGAACCACAGAUACCUCUAAUCCAGGUUUGUCGUAUUUUACUGACAAUGAGAUCCAAUAUUAAAAAUGAUAUCACCAUGGGGUAGUGCAAUAAUCGGUGGCACAUUGAAGACGAUGUUGGCGUUGUUAUCGAUUCCAUGCAAUGUUUCGGUGAUUCAUUGCUUCCCCUCUCCCAAGUAUCAACUAGGGUGGUAGAAGCCAUUGUGAAUCGAAAGUAACGCAAUAUACACCCCACACAUAACGAAGCGUCGGAGUGUAGGUGAUAUCGAUGCUUUAAAAUAUCAUACAUAUCUGCAUAUACGUAGGUAUCGGCCCCUUCUUUCUGUCCACCCCCUUUCGGUUUUUUUCGAAGGAUAAGGGCAUCGUACUUAAUGAGUCGGGGAGAGUUGGUCCGCAACCCUGGUUGCGGAUCAACCCCCUUUGCACCCCGUUCGGUGGAAGGGGCUUGGCACCCGGGGGACGAUCCUAACCUUACUUUGAUGUUUCUGUCUUUGUUACUCGUUUUUUUCUCAGCCGUUCUCAGUUCACGUUGUCUGAUUUAUCAGCAUUCUUCGAACCGUCCCGGUAACGAGGCUACGUUUUCGUGUUCCAUGAGAGUAGUCACGUGUCAGAAACAAAAUAUGUCUUUUUCUUAUUACAUUUAUACCACUCUUCUUGAUUAACUUCUUCUGUGUUCUUGUUGAACGUGAAAUAUUUUAGACGCUCAUUGAUAUGACGUAAUUAAAUGGCAAGUUUAAUCAAUCGGUCAGGUUGAUUUUACAAAAGUGGUGACGGGGGUUGAGUGUCUGCCAACUAGCGUAAAUUUUGAGUCACUGGUUGAACGGUGGAAGAUGCUGUGAUACGGGGGCAUGUGUCGCGGUAAACUCAGUUAAUUAGACAAGAGGCAACCAUCGCCACCCCUCGACACCACCGAGGCUUGUUAAUAACGCGUAAUUACCAUUAUACACGGCGAUACACUCUUCCAAGCCCACGUUGGCGACCCCAUUAGAUAAGACGACACCUUAUUAUACGCGAACUAACGUCGCUGUAUCGUGCAACCACAAAACUUCGAAGCGUAGUGUCUCGGCAUGGGAUAAGGAGUCCCCUUUUCCUCAUUUUCAUCGAACGAAAAUAAAGUCUCGUUAAGAAAAUCGGGAUAAUUAAAGCAGAUUUUAGUAGAUAUCUGCAUAGUUAAUUUAUGGUUAAUUUUAUCACCAUAAAGAUUUUUAAUAUAGUACGAAUACAUUAUUGAGUACUAAAUGCCAAACAAUUUCAAGUUCUUCAACUUUCACUUAACCAGCCGUCGCGUCGGUGGAUGAAAAAAGAAUUUCAUAUCAUUUAGAAUGAAAUCAACAGCGGUAUAGCAGCGUUUAGCGCUUAAUUACGAGAGCAAACAAGCUCGGGAGCCCCCCUUAUUGCGUGACCUCCUCGAGCGUGUGCAGCCUCUAGCCGCUUCUUUUACGAUUUAUGUCAUAAUCACCUGAAAGAUAGGUCCCGAGGAACACCGCGAGUUCCCCUUUGGCCCUCGGUCUCCUCUUCAAGCCGGGUUCAUUCUUUCUCGAACGAGGAAGCUCGGAGUCGCGCGAGCUGGAGCAUAAAAUGCAUUUAGGGUUAAUGCGACGUGUAUCGCGCGCAGGCCGCUUUCAAUGGCCGCCUGGAAAACGCGAAACGAGGCGGCUCGUGUAACCACCAGCUGGACCCCGUCUGAACCCUGAACGUUAAAUGUUAAAUGCCAGCCAUUCACUAUUAUCCCGUCUUUUUUUUCUUGUUCUUGUGCAUUUUUUGUUUUUUUUUUUCUUU
Non-coding RNA from Osmia lignaria (orchard mason bee), 10920 nucleotides. The record is from RefSeq and is a predicted model, not a curated record. Lineage: Eukaryota; Metazoa; Arthropoda; Insecta; Hymenoptera; Megachilidae.